AGGUGUGUGUGUGUGUGUGUGUGUGUGUGUGUGUGUGUGUGUGUGUGUGUGUGUGUGUGUGUGUGUGUGUGUGUGUGUGUGUGAGAGAGAGAGAGAGAGAGAGAGAGAGAGAGAGAGAGAGAGAGAGAGAUUUGGUCAUCCUUUGCUCCUCCUGUUUGCGUCAGAGUCUCAGCGGUGCGGAAGCAUUUACUCAGAACAUCGCACACCUGUUAAUCCUCAGCGGCAAAAAAAAAAAAAAAAAAAAAAAAGAAGAAGUUGCAUGCUGCGUGAACUCCAGCAUGUCCUUCACUCCAUCCAUCCUCUUCUGUCUUCUGUUCCUGGAAAUUCAGACUUAACACAGAAAAGGCACAGCAGGAGCUCAUACAGUCAGAGGAAGCAAGUGUUUGGCUUCAUGUGCUCGGAUGAAACACAAUGGCAACUUCCUGUUUUCUUUCUACUCGAAAGAACUUCCCACAACAUCAGAUGCACGUAUAGUCACCAAUAAUAAAUAAAGAAGAAGAAGUGAAGUCUAGCCUUCACAAUGAGGAGCUUUGACUGACAACAGUAGGCAUGUACUAUUCACAGAGGAGUUGUUUAUACAUUCAAUGAAAGAUUAAAGGACUAUGAAGGAGGACAUAUAAUAACGUCAGCUUCUACUGACAGCAAAGCUUGAAGACCCCAGUGGAUUGUUUUACCUGUUUUUUUUUUUAUUAUUAUUAUUAUUAUUAUUAUUUAAAGCUUUGCGUUUAGAUAUUUAUUGCACAGUUUAGAUGAGAGAGGUGUAUCUAUGAAGUGUGAGUGUGCAGCGAUGGAGAAGCUCGGAGAAGAUGGCUUUGAGAGAUGUGAACAGUUUGGGGACUGGUCCAGCUCUGAACACUGGGAUGAGGAUCACAGGGACAGCAGUGGCUUUGGGGACUGGGCUAGUUUUAAAGACGGACUCAGUGAAGAGAGUGAUUCUGCAGACUUAUUGUCUCAGGAAGGACAGACUUCUGGCCAUGAACACAAGGUAGAGAGAGGUGAUGAGCCCUGGAUUGUGAUCCAUGAUUGCUUUCAUGUUGAGGAGAUUGUGAGAGAUACAGACAUGAUGGAAUUUCUGCCACUGUCACAGCUACUGCACAAUUCCACACACACCCCUCCUCCUCCAGCAGUACUAUUAAGAAAGGGUGCUAGCUUUUACCACAGUUUGCUGUGUGAGCCGAAGUCUUCAAGCGUAACGAGUCCUAAACCCAAUUUGCAUUCCCACAAGCAGCUCACUGAUGCACUACAGCUCAAACAAUCCAAUACUUCACAGGUUAUUCUAAGGCACUAGGGGGUGCAAGUGGAUUAAUUGAUGUAAGCAGCCAUUGGGUCAUUACAUUUGCAGAACACGGAUUUACUUCACCUUGGGUUUGAGAAGCCUCAAAGUUCCUCUGCUGCUCUCAUCCAAACUAAGCUAACAGCACCCACGUGGUGUCAGACUUCUCCUGGAUUCUUCUACCAGAUCUCUCACCGAUGGCUCAGCCAGAACAGUUUGAGACUACAGAAUAAUCAGGACAACAAAAAAGACCUGCUGUAAUGACAGUGAAACACUGACUACGUUUACAUGGACAGCAGUAAUCUAAUUAUUAUCUUACUCUGAGUAAGACAAUAUAGUGAUUAAGGUGUUUACAUGAGUCGCUUUUAGAAUACUCCUUACAUGUUCCCGUUUUACAUGUUAUAGAACGUAAUUAGAUUAACGGUACAUGCAUUAUGUCAUCGCGCCACGCCGUCCAACGUUCCCUCCAGAAUUUCACAUAUCAACAUAUAGUUCAUCUUCGUUAUGGUACCGUAUACAGUUUUGGGUGUUUUUAUAAAAAAAAAAUUUACGAACGCUUUAAGUGCAGUUAAUUAUUUGUCCUGCUAUAUGUGCAAGUAGACGACUGCUUGAAGCCGUGGGCUGCGUCCCAAACCGCGUACUUACCGUCUAUAUAGUAGCCGAGAUGCAUGUAUUUUUCCCCACUACAGGCCUAUAUUAAGCAAGUAUGCGGUUUGGGAAGCAGCUGUGCUCUCUUGUUCGCCGUGAAACGUUGAGCACUGCCGUGUGUGAUCAUGUCCUGUCGCAAAAUGCGGUGAAAACUCUCACACGACGUUAAUAGUGUGAUUAAGGUGUUUACAUAUCUGUAAUACACGUUGAUAAUGCGACUAAAACAGGAGUACUCCACAUGUCUUAAUUCCAUUAGUGUUUACUUUGAAUAUGACCUUAAUCAUAUUAAGGUAAUUAAAAAUUGCUGUUUACAUAGUAGUUUCUUAAUCACAGUAUUGUCUUAAUCGGAUUAAUAGUGGAUUAUUGCUGUCCAUGUAAACGCACUGACUGAUAAACUGUGCACAGAAUAACAUCAGUCUUUCUGAUAAUUGAGACAAUAAAAACAAGUGUACCAACACAGGAAAAUACUUUAUUGUUGAGCUUCACACAUUAGGUGUCUAUUCUGAAUGCAAAAUAAAUUCACUCUAUAUGUACAGGGACAUCUCAAAAAAUUAGAAUAUCGUGGAAAAGCAGGUCCGGACUGGCCAUCGGGAGCACCAGGAGAAUUCCCAGUGGCCUGACAACUGAUUUGGCCUGCUGCCCUGCUGUUUUUUUAUUUUUAAUUUAUUUUAUAUUAUUGCAUGUCCUAUGUACUUGAGUUUUGGACUUUGGCAUUUGAUAAUAAAUCGAAAUAAAUCACUACCAUUCUCCUCAGCUCCGGUGAACAGUUUUGAACAGAGUGCUCAAUGCACAGAGCGAGGAUGGAGAGGAAAGGGCCAGGUGGAGCAGAAAGAAAGCCCUCUGAAAAGAAGCAGCAAAAAUGUAACAAAAUUACUGACCUGUUCAGGGCUUCAAGUGCAGGUCAGUCUCCUCUGUAAAUAUUGUAGCUUUGUGUUCGCUAACUUAGCUAAAUAAGUAUUAACCAAAGGUGCACUACUCACAAAUGUUAGCACUAUUACUAUCGUCACUCAAAAUAUGCUAAAGGACAACAUUAUCUACUGAAUAGUUAUAAUACUAAGUAAUUUAGCAGACAAAUAUCCAAAUUUAUUAUUUUAAAUGUUGAAAUUACACAUACAGCUAGGGCAAGCAACAACAACAAACAUUUUUCCAAGCUAUGAGUCAUAAAAAGCAACAUUAUGCUCAGUAUUAGGAUUUUUCUAAAUAGACAUUUUCCUGAUGUAGUUAGUACUGCACUUAUUACAACACAUAUUUAGGCAAUUAAAAAAAUUGUCUUCAAAUAUGUGAGGUUGAAAAAAACAACAACAACUUUUUCUCCUAUUUUUCACAAUAAAGUGGUGAGAGUAAGCUUGCACUGGCUCAGUGAAAUGGUCACACUUGAGGGUUAACAUGAGAUGACUGGUAGAGGUAAAUAAAGAAAAAUUAAAUAUAAUUUAAUAUAUUUGUAUGAAAUAUAAUAUGGUUGAACCUCAGGUAUUUUAAGUAUUUUUAAGUCUCAAAAAAAAAACAUUGUCCUAAUGUGAUACAUUAACUUGAAAUGAUGUUAAUGAAAUUUAGAUUCUGUGCUCACAAAUUACAGUGAGGUUAAACAGUUUUCAUUUUCUAACAAUGUGGAGACAGUUCUAUUCAUAGCCUACAUUAAAAUGGCAAAACAAA
Molecule: RNA transcript, 3574 nt
Organism: Ictalurus punctatus (channel catfish)
Lineage: Eukaryota; Metazoa; Chordata; Actinopteri; Siluriformes; Ictaluridae
Exons: 6
Source: RefSeq, a predicted model, not a curated record